Molecule: long non-coding RNA, 2356 nt
Filed under: Durio zibethinus
Lineage: Eukaryota; Viridiplantae; Streptophyta; Magnoliopsida; Malvales; Malvaceae
Description: long non-coding RNA (DZIB_LNC000416)
Source: RNAcentral
UCCCACUACACUUUGGAAACAUGCAACAACAAUGAGUGCACCUUGUAUCCCUCUCAUUGUCCGUACAAACCUCUGUAAAAUGAUAUGGUCAAAUUUUUAAACUUGGAACAUUUAUUGACUGAUACAAUUGAAAAGAAAUUUUAUAAGGCUCCUAAAGUGAGGUAAAGAACUAGCUACACUUUAAGAUGAUACAGUUGAAAAGAAACUUUUUACAAGCAUAACACAGGCAGCCAACCCCAUAAGGAUCUAAAUAAGAAUUGUAUCUGCUUGCUUGGAUAAUAAAAGAUACAGGAAUCAAAUAAGUAUAUGAACCCACUACCACUGUAGGGAGUCUGUUGAACACGAAGAUUAUAAAUGAAUAUUAUUUAUUGAAGCAUUUAAGGAUCUUAUCACGAAACAAGUAUGGUAAAUGCUCAUUUGAAAGUGGGCUAGUAAGUAGUCUGUUCUUUGCUGAUUGCUUCCUGAUCUUGUGAUAAAUACAAAGUUGAAAUAAGGUCAGGCCACGUGGAACACUGCAGAAAUAAUUGAACUUUCUAUAAUUUUCCAUUUCCUGCAAAAGACUUGCCUAUUUCAAGAAAAGCUUCUCUUAAUAUCAUCAAAUGUCCAUUUUUCAUUUGAACUAAUUCAACACCAAAUUGUACCAUCAAGAAAUUGAAUAAUAUGCCAAGAGAGAAAAAUUAAAAUAAGGUUCAAAAUCCCAACAAUUCCAUUAUCAACCUGACCAUGAAAACAAAGAUUAUGCAACAUUUUUUUUCUUGUGAGGGAGGUGUUUUCUGUUUCUUGUGCUGUUGGUCCCACAGAAAGCUGGUUGGGUUCCUAGGAUAGUUUGUGUCUACAUUUAACAGCUCAUUCCCAUCCUGCCAUUCAAACACAGCUAGACCUUGCCAAUGAUUUUGUUGGCAUGUUCAUCAGGUAGAGCUAGUGAUGAUGAUAUGAUUAGAUUAACAUUUUGUUGUUUCAAAGUUUUAGGUAAUAGAUAGAUGGGCUGGACUGAUUUGAAAAAUUGUGUAACAACUUUUAUCUUUUUUUGAACAAAAUUUAUAGUCUUUUCAAUCUAAAAUCUUUUUUGAAACUCAUAGAUUAGAUUUAGAUGGAUACAAAACCGACAAAAAUGUGGUAGAAUAAAGUCUGUGAUAAGGUAAUAAAAAUACUGUUAAACAUCUAAUUUAAAAUAGUAACUUAUCAUGAUAUAAAUUUGAAAAGUGUAACAGGCAUAGUAACGAGCAAGAACAAAAAACCAAAACUUGAAUUCUGGUAUUAUGUUAAAUAAUUAACAUAAAAUCAAUUAAUAACAGAACUGAAAGCAGCUUGUAAGUAGAAAUAAAAUAAAAAACAUAAAAAGAAAUACAUAAUAGAAUGCUUUAAAGUCCUACCAACAACAAGGCACAUAAUUUAGCAGAUCGAACUUGGAAGACUGAAAAUGAUUAGAUGUAAAGCAAUUUACAACAGUUUUAUUUAUUUUUCUACGUUUUAAUAAUGAAAUUUAGGAAUAUAUUUGAAUGUUAUAAAAAAGUAUAAUUCCCAGUUUAAAUUUCUCUAAAUGUCUACAUUGGACAGAAUCAAGUGGAUAUGUGGAGAACUAAUUAUUUCUCUAUAUUUAUCUCCUCAUUUACAUAUCCAAACAAAAGUAACUAUUAGUUCUUCCUCAUAUUCUCUAAAUUUUAAAUUUCAAAAGUUAAACAGAAGAACACCAUUGAUUAAACUUCUAUGUAUUUCAAAAAUAACAAUGCAGUUCAAAAUUGACAUAAAGACACUCUAAAACAGCAAAAAAAAAAAAGAAAAGCAUUUGAAGCAACCAAAGAAACAAGAAAAAGAAGACACGAAGCUAAUUUAUACAAUUGGAAAACCUUAUAUGGUUUCCUUUCAGAAGAACGAAAGCUUUUAAAAUUUAAACCAACAUCAGAGGCAUUUUUCGUUAUCAUCAGAAAAUUGGAAACCCUACAACUUCUAACUGGAAUUGAAACGCUAAGACGGUUUCAUGAUUUAAUAAAAUAAAACGUGAUAAUUUCUCAGAAUCUUAAAAAAAAAAAAAAACUUCAUUCAAUUGGUUAAUUCAAGCUUCCAAUUAUGAUAAAUUUCAGCGAUCAAAAUUUAAAAAAAAAAAAAAAAAGCAAGAGAAACAUAUAGUAAUGUAAUCAACUCCACGUCCAAUUUUCUUCUCAGACUCUGGAUAGUGUGGAAGCAACCUCUCAAGGUUGAGAUUGGGGGCUUUGGAGUUGAGGGAGAGAAACGAGAAGCCUUGAAUCAGUGGAGGAGGCAGUAGGAGCGGCAAACUGUGGAGAUUUACCAACGUACGGUUAUUUGCGUUUAGGGUUUUUGGGAAAUAGGGAGACUGCAGUUGAAAGAGACAGACGAG